Molecule: ribosomal RNA, 464 nt
Filed under: uncultured bacterium
Lineage: Bacteria
Description: bacterial SSU rRNA
Rfam family: Bacterial small subunit ribosomal RNA
Source: RNAcentral
GACGAACGCUGGCGGCGUGCCUAACACAUGCAAGUCGAGCGAAUGAAGUUCCUUCGGGAAUGGAUUUAGCGGCGGACGGGUGAGUAACACGUGGGCAACCUGCCUCAUAGAGGGGAAUAGCCUUCCGAAAGGGAGAUUAAUACCGCAUAAGAUUGUAGUACCGCAUGGUACAGCAAUUAAAGGAGCAAUCCGCUAUGAGAUGGGCCCGCGGCGCAUUAGCUAGUUGGUGAGGUAACGGCUCACCAAGGCGACGAUGCGUAGCCGACCUGAGAGGGUGAUCGGCCACAUUGGGACUGAGACACGGCCCAGACUCCUACGGGAGGCAGCAGUGGGGAAUAUUGCACAAUGGGGGAAACCCUGAUGCAGCAACGCCGCGUGAGUGAUGACGGCCUUCGGGUUGUAAAGCUCUGUCUUCAGGGACGAUAAUGACGGUACCUGAGGAGGAAGCCACGGCUAACUACGUG